Molecule: RNA transcript, 2162 nt
Organism: Branchiostoma floridae (Florida lancelet)
Lineage: Eukaryota; Metazoa; Chordata; Leptocardii; Amphioxiformes; Branchiostomatidae
Gene name: ATP synthase subunit C lysine N-methyltransferase-like
Exons: 3
Source: RefSeq, a predicted model, not a curated record
UUUGACCUCAUGAAACAAUCUGUGGCACACGUGCGUCAUCAAGAAAGGUUGUUGUUGUUGUUGUUGUCCUCGUUUUACGAUGACGCCAGUUUAACUUUAAGUGUUAUGGACCAUUGUAUGCACAGACCAAGGGAGGUGUCGUGAGAUGGAUGACAGCAUAGAAAUGGAACUGGCCAGUUUGGCUUCAGCAGAGAGGGACAGAUCCUUCCUCCUGGUUAAGGGUCUGGGAGGGGCUGUUUGUCUCACUUACAUGGUGAACACAGCUCUGGUCUUUCCUUGGUAUAGAAGGAGCCAGGUGUGCGGAGUGCUGAGGCUUCUACAGGGCAGGAAGGGCACCGUAGUUGAUCUGGGUAGUGGUGAUGGCAGACUUGUGAGUCAUGGGUAGAACAGCAGGCAAUGUGAGGCCAGGCUGAAAAAGAGAAGGAGUAGACAUUGUCUGGAACAAGAAAAAUUCUGGCCACUACCGUACGGUACCAAAAUUAUGGAGAUCAGUUUCAAGUGCAUUUAGCAUGCACAUUCAUGCACAUUCAAGCUUGCAUUUAGCAUGCAAGUGGAUUUUUCAAAUAAGAGAAGAAUACACAAGGCCCCAGCAAGGGGAAUCAGAUGUUAGCCUAGAAUCAGUAUGAAAGGAAUACUGAUACCUUAUGACUCCUUCUCUUUCUUCAGCUGUCUACAACUUUCUCCACGGAGACCUGCCAAUAGCAAUGCUUUCUCCAUGCUGCUGUUCCUGUGGAGACUGCCAGGGGUCUAGCCAGCACCUGUUAUUUGGUCAUUUGAUAGAAUUUUGCUGCGUACGUAGGAAAGAAAAAUCUAAAGUCUGUUCCAUCAAUCUGGUUCUACAAAACUCAGUGAUGAUAAUAAUUAUAUUAGCUAUCCAAAUAGGACUAAACUCUGCCCAAACACAGGCCUGCAAAUUGAACAGCGAUAGAAAUUUGUAUGUGAUGAAAAGCAAAGUCACAUUCCCCUUUUUUGGGAAUAGAGAUGGAAAUGUUUCAAGCUGGCUAAAGCCCUGGUUUAUACCUUUAUUCCUUAUGUAACAAUAGUGUUCAGAACUCUACUGUAUUGAUGGUGUAUGUUCCAUCAAUUUGACCUGUCAGGUCUCCGCUGCCCUAUGUCCCAUCCGGACGACCGCAGGUAGACCGUGUCCUCAGACUGCUGGAAGGCAGACCUGGAAAGGUCGCUGACCUAGGCAGUGGGGAUGGGCGCAUUGUAAGUAGCAGGUUUAGACCUGAAUGUAUGCCCCACGUAGCCUUCUGCAUAACAGCAGCUUUUCUGGUCUUGUCAUUUUUAUUGUGGCUUACCUUUAUGGAAUAUUUUAUUGCUCAUGUUGUUAAUGUAUGACAACAAAUGUAUUUUGAGCAUGCAAUUUUUUCUUUGUACCAAUCUUAUUUCUUCCUAAAGAAUUGAAAGCUGAAAGCUUAUGACUAUGUAUUUUUCCUUUAACGUGAGCUUGCUAGCCAUGUGAAGUUUGUACUUUGAUCCCUUUUUCAUAGACAUAGGGCAACAUUAAAACGUGCUGUGUGCUGUAUGGAAUGCAAUUCAAAAUAUGUAUGCUUGACCACCUACCUUGCUUCCUCAGUCUCUGAGGCUGCAUACAACUGAGUCUAGUGAGUGGUUACAAUUUUACAACACUUCUGAAUGGUUUGCAGUGUGUUUAGCAAGGCUUAGAAACGUUUAAGUAGAUGACUGAACAAUUGAACCUUUGAUAUAAAUGUGUAAAGCAUGUAACUAAGAUUUUCCACAUUUGGAGGAUACUCAAGGCUAAAAUACAAAUGUAAUAGAUUUCAUUAACCUUAAAAAAAUGAUUUUUCCUCUUUCUUGCACUAUCCAUUUUUUGUGUGACUGUCUGCAUGGAUAUAUUACCUCCCAUGCAGAGCCUCGCCCAUACAAUACUAGUAUACCCUGGGAGGCGGGGGCUCUGUGUUAAACUGGGCUGAUGAGGUUUUCAGGCUUUUAUGGGAUUGGCCUCUAACCGGCUGUCUGCCAAUCAGAGUAUUGAUUUUACUUGAAGAUUAUACUUGGGCGAUUCUCAGCCGGUUAGAGGCCACACUCACGAAGUGCAAACUUCAGCCCAGUUUUAUAGCAGAACCUCCCCUAGGUAGCCUGGUAUCUAAACCCAUUGUAGCUGCUGAGCCUCUUCUUCCUGAGCUUUUGCAAAUUAG